Molecule: transfer RNA, 72 nt
Filed under: Bos taurus (domestic cattle)
Lineage: Eukaryota; Metazoa; Chordata; Mammalia; Artiodactyla; Bovidae
Also listed under: 3 other names
Rfam family: tRNA
About the family: Transfer RNA (tRNA) molecules are approximately 80 nucleotides in length. Their secondary structure includes four short double-helical elements and three loops (D, anti-codon, and T loops).
Source: Rfam by way of RNAcentral
UCCCUGGUGGUCCAGUGGAUAAGUCUCUGCGCUCCCACUGCAGGGGCCUGGGUUCAAGCCCUGGUCGGGGAA